UAUUUUGUAUGAUAUAAAAACGACCAAGCUACACCAAAAGCGACAUUAGUUCGAGUGAGUAUCUUGAUGAAAGAUGAAGUUCCUGAGCCAACUAUUUUGUUUCUUUUUGCUGUGCAUCGCGGCAUCGAUGUGCAUGAGCAUUGGAAAUCAAUCCCCAGGGAAUCCAACUUCUGCGCUUACAGGACAGAGUAAAGUAGCUUGUAGGAACAGAGGGACUACUACUACCGCAGCAUCUACAUAAAUGAGUAGAAGACAAUGGAGAAGUUUUAUGACGAUGGAUUAAAAUAUCUAGAAGAAUCUAAAAUUAUUAUGUACAAUGAAUAAUAUAAAUCGAUUUCUCUAUAUAUUUUUCUAAAGACAAAGUAUAGAAAUACAUGUGAAAAAGUUA
Nylanderia fulva is the source of this 388-nucleotide non-coding RNA. Lineage: Eukaryota; Metazoa; Arthropoda; Insecta; Hymenoptera; Formicidae. The record is from RefSeq and is a predicted model, not a curated record.